GGGAUGGAAUGGUGUGUGUGUAGGGGGCCAUUUGAAAUUUUAAAUGGGUGCUGAGGAUGUCACUGAAGUGAUAUUUGAGUCAAGAUCCAAAGGAAAUGAGGAACAAGCUAGUGUGCUAUGGGAGAUGAGGAAACUGAGACUCAAGACCCAAGGCCACGGCACUAGCAGGUGGAACAGCUGGAAUACAAAGCAUCCCACAAAUGAGGCUAAAAAUGAAGAAAGAAUUGGAGGUGGGAAGCAUCUUCUUCAUAAGGAUGAAGCCCUCUCUUUCUCUGAUUCACAUGAUGAGGAACAAGACCAUAAAAAGUCCUAAUUUUUACAUCUGAGAAAUAGGCAGCCACAGAAAGCCUGGCUCCUUUGUAUCUGUCUAGACUCAAAACUCCCAUGGAAGGGCUCAGAUAAGUCUGAGGGUCAGGGGCUUGCCUCUGAACCAAUCAGCUGUUGCUAGGCAAUGGGUUCUAUGAUUGAUCAGGCUUGUGUAGGUGGCUAGCCCUGGACCAUCAACACUGAUCAGGGGGAAGGGGUCACUUCUAUGAUGGCUUCCAUGGUAACCAUAUAGAUGACAAGAGGGAUAGAUAUUAGAAAAGAAGUGCUUCAUAGGUAUUCCCUGAAGAACACAUAGGAUCCAAAAGGGAUGGAGGCGAGAAGAGCUUGAGGGUUUGCCUAGAAAACCACUUUACCAUUUGAAGAUUAUUUCUAUGAGCCAGCAGGAGUGCCAUGUUUGCGUGGAUUGGACACCUGCUUUAUUUUUUCCUUCUAAUUAUGAAUGCUUGUCGUUGUUGUUGCUUAUGUCCCAGUGCUUGUCAUAGCCCUUUACACUUAAUAAGUGGUCAAUCAAGGUUUGUUGUAAUUUUGAUCUGAAUGUUCUCAGUGGGGCUUUUGCAUACUGGAUCUACAGACCUUCAAGAAAAGAGUCCUGGAAGCAUUUUUGACAUAAAGAAAUAAAUCCACAGCCUCCCUCUCCAGGUGACUGCUUUGAUGACAGCACUCAUUUGGAAGUGGAAAUCUUGGCUCUGGCUGCCGCUUGGAGACGCUUCUUCUAAGCUGCAUCCUCAUCUUCACUUUCAUCUUCAUCAAGCAUCGCGUGAUCGCUUCCUGUGAGCCAGGCACUAUGCUUUAGCUCAUUAUCUCAUCUACUUGCUUUAUCCCCUCUUCACAGAAAGAAGAGGGAUCCAGAAGACCGUCUGAGGCUCACUGAAUGCAGUUCCCCUCUUAGAAGACCCAGAAAACAUCACACCACACUCGGAGUGUAGAAAGCAUGUGACGCCAAGGAAUCGAAGCCAGGUGGACAGGCUGAGCAUUGGAUGAAGUGAGAGCAGCCCUUAGGUUGAGCAAGGAGAGCACUGAGGAGCUGUGUUAUGGACAAAGUGAGGUGAGGCGGUUAUCAUCACCCUGCUUGUCACCACCAGGAUCCUGCUGGAGAUUUCCGGCCAAGGAGGGCCCAUGGUAAGGAGACACUCUACAUCAGAUGACAUCUUGGACACAGCUCGAGAUCCUGUGUGAUCGGUGGUUCCCCAGGUCACAGACUGAGUCCGGGCUCAUGUGUCAGGCAGAGGCCCUUAGGGAGGCCAGAGCUUGUCCCCUUCCCAGCUCCUUGGCAGAAACCAGUGCCAAUAAACUACAGGAGGAAUUUCUGCCUUUGAGUCAUGAGCCAACCUAGUGGCUGCUACAGAUCAGCUAAGAGAAUAAGUCACCCAACCUCCUGUGGUUCGCCCCAGAGCUGGCGCCACAGUGGGAGCCGGGCAGAUCUUCCUAGGAGGGCUGGGAGUGCCAGAGAUAACAGCUGAGCUCAGGUGAAAGCCUUCUGGAUGGGGACACCAGGCUUGAGGGGCCGUGAAGAGCUCUUUCAUCUCCAAUCCACCCCGUGCCUUGUCAUCUACCUGCUGAGAGGCCACAGCUUACUGGAAAGAAUCUCCCCGUUGGGUAAAUUCAUGUAAUGUGGGUGGGCAGGGGCCCUCUGUUCUGCUCCACCAGGUGAGAAGAUCCUUCUGGUUGAUUAGCUGUGAAGGAGUUGGCCUGUGGUCAUCCUGCCUUGCAGUCCAGUACUGGGAGGGCUAGUUCCACUCACCACCCACCCUUUGCAAGAGUCCCGUUCUUGUCUUCCCAGACUGAACCCAGUUGAAUUUCCAUGGAUGUGUGAGCAGUUCUACCAUGAAGGUCUCAGGAGAGCGCCUUCAAGCAGCACAGGGAGAAAGAGGGGAGGGCUUGUGGACGUAAGGAAGGGGAAGAGUCUCCUAAUGUUGGCUUUUGGGAAACGUCCCGCCAGAUUCCCUACUUCCUGCCUUUCAAUCUUUUUGGUACCCCCUACCCCUUCCCCAGUCCCUCUUCAAGUUGCUCUCUUUCCUCUGAUCCUCAGCUCCUCCCACAGGGAUGCCCCUCCCGACAGAAGGUUCUGAGCCCCAGGGAUGCGAACCUUCCUGCAAACGACAGUAGGGUCAGGCUCAGGUGGGAGGUGGGGGUGUGUAAGGCAUCAAAGUGACUGGUGAGGCAAAAUGAUUUAUUGGAAUAUUCAUUUGUUUUUGAGCUUCCUCAAGUCUCUUCUUCCUCCUCCAUUUUAAGCUGAUGGCUUGGCCUUUUUGGGUUUCUUGCUUUACGGAUUCCUGUCCACAGAAGCAGCCUGCAGCCCACAGCUCGUCUGCACCUUGUGAAGAGAUACUGACAUUGAACCUGAAGUACUGGGUUGAAUGCGGAGGAUUCAGUGGUGAACAAAGCCGGCCCCUGGCCCCACGGACCCUAUAGUCUCACCAGGGAGACAUAUAUUCAUCAAAUAAUUCUACAAAUAUUUAUAUAUACAUAUGUACACCUGGAUAAAGACUGAAAGGAAAACAGAUGCCGCUAUGAGGGUGAGUAGUAAUAGAUCUGAUACAGUCUGGAGCGGGGUUGGAAGUGGAGGGGGGUCAGGAAAAACAGAGUGAUGUUUGAGUUGAACUUUCAAGUCUAGCUGAGGUGUGUGUGUUUGUAUGUGUGAAUGUGUGUGCAAAAGUGAGCAUGCCUGUAUAUGUAUGUACAUGUAUAUGCAUGCAUGGAGUAUUUCACUGAGAGGGAAGAACUUUCUAGAAGGCCUUGGGGUGGGGGAAAGAGCGCAGUGCCUUUAAGGAACUGAAAGAAGUCUGUGUGGUUGCUGGAGGUGAGGCCAGGAAGGGGGAAGCAGCAAGGUCCCCUGAGGCCUUCGAGACUGGAUUGGGCGGUUUGGCCAUUGUCUUAAGAG
Equus caballus (horse) is the source of this 3208-nucleotide non-coding RNA. NCBI's taxonomy places the organism in Eukaryota, Metazoa, Chordata, Mammalia, Perissodactyla, Equidae. The record is from RefSeq and is a predicted model, not a curated record.